This 3011-nucleotide long non-coding RNA is filed under the name Homo sapiens (human). RNAcentral describes it as "HSALNT0383432". The record is from RNAcentral. Lineage: Eukaryota; Metazoa; Chordata; Mammalia; Primates; Hominidae.
UAUAAAUUACACAGCUUCAGGUAUUUCUUUAUAGCAAUGAAGAAUGGCCUAACACAGGGGCACAGGGCAUCUUCACCAAGUGUGGUCCCUGCAGCAAUGCUACAGAGUGUUCAUAGAUGACACUGGGUGCUGGAAACUAGACAUGGCAAAGGGAAGAGGAAAUAAAGACUUGGGGGAAAAGCCCAAGAUGAAGAAGAAAGAGAAAAGGAAGAGUGUAAGUGUAGUUAUGGAUAUACAACCAUACUCAGGGGUCACGUGGGCAGUGGGGACAGAAAUUAAUCCAUGGACCCUCAUUUUUUUUCAAAUGCAGAAUGUAAUAAUAGUAGUAGAAAUGACAGUAAUAAAUAAUAUUCACAGAGGUAUCAAAAACUCUGAUGGCCAUUAAGAAUCUCCGCUUUGGUCACCUCCCACACAGGGGAUUACAUUUCAACAGGAGAUUUCGUGGGGGCACAGAUUUUGACAGUUUCUCCAACGAUAAAUUGAGUUGUUUUUCACUAGCUGCUGUUUUUAGGAAACUGAGCCCUGGAAAGGUGUUUAACUUAUUUGCCAGCUCACUAUCUCCAGGGAUUUUGACUAGCAUUUAAUUGUUUCCCUCUUAACAACGAAUGUAUUAAGAAAAUUCUGUAAACGUAGGCAAAUCACUAACCCAUUAUAAGGUUUAUUAUUUCUCAGUCUAAAUUGUGUUUGCAUUUGUUAUGGGAGUGGUGGUAAGAGCAUUCAAAAUUAUUGAAGUGUCUUGAGGUGGUGAUUCUGGUUAAUGUUUGACAGUGGUCAUCGUGAUGAGCCUUUGUGUGAGUGUGUCUGGGCAGGACUGGCUACUUAAUUUGCAGGGCCCAGUGAAAAAUUAAAAUGUGGGACUUCGACAAGGACCCAGACACCCCCUACCCAAGGGCUGAACUCUAACACAGGGAGAGCAGCCCACUCCCUACAGAUUGCAACCUCCCUUUCAGGAUGUGCUAGGUAUCUGAAUUGGCACCUGCCAAUUUGCAUUCUGAGUGCACCCUAAUGCUGCAGGAAUGAGGCAGGGCUGGUAUCCACCUUGCCCUGCCCCAAGACAGCACAGCACACAUACCUAUCCUGACCGUCCCCAAGCCUGCACCUAGGACUUGCAGGUGGCCAAGAACUAUACUGAACAGAAACUUGCUCUGGUUGUGCCUCAUAUAGAACAGUAACCUUUCUAGGGAAUUUUAAAAAGUAUUUUCAAAUUCAAUUAAGAUAAACCUUGCAAGAUUGUCCCAAACAAAUGCUAUUUUGAAAAUUAUCCCCCUUAUGAGGCCAUGAACAAUUUCCAACAACACAGAAUAAUUCAUGGCUGCCCUUUUAAUUUUUAUUUGUUUAUUUAUUGUUUUUUAGAAAUGUGGUCUCACUAUGUUGACCAACCUGGAAUGCUGUGGCUAUUUACAGACACAAUCAUAGAACUUACAGCCUCAAAAAUCUUGUGCUCAGUGGAUCAUCCUGCCUCAGCCUCCCUAGUAGCUGGUGCUACUGUGCCAAGCUAAUUCAUGGCUCUCUUUUUUAUCCAAAUCUGGGAACCAGUUUAUAGUCUCAUCACUGAGAGUCGUCACUUUCCCUUACAUCCAAUUAUAGUAUGUAGCUAGCUAUCUGUUAUUUUAUAUAUUAUAUAGUAUUAGAUAUAUAUAAAUAAGCAUGUAUAUGUGUAUUUUUUUUCAGUUAGAGAAGUGAGUUUAUGUCAAUGCUAAGUUCUAAUUUCCAACAAACUCCCUUUCAAGGAAGUGGCAUUUUCAUUAGCCUUUAUAUUCACAGACAAACCCAAUACACAGCUAUUAUUAGGGAAAAUGUGUCCCAUUAUGAAUCUGUUUGAGAAAUGACAAAUAAUAUUGAAACUAUCCUAAUGUGGUAAUUUGAUGGAAUAAAAUAGUUUCAAACACCUCUUUACUCCCAUUUAAUUUCACCUUUACUCAUGGGUAAUCACUGAUGUAACUCAUUGUUCAUAAGCUUUUCUAAAAAUUGAGGAAUCAUUUUGCUAUGAGACGUUCAUUUGGAGAUCUAGAAAGUCAUCUCAAAUUUAGAGGAGACUUCUUUCAUACAUAUCUUUACACUAAUUUUGUUUACAGCCAAGAAGGAUCGUGUCAGUCCUGCAACUUGUCAGUGGAAUUAAAUUUCAGGCGUUUUAAAGAUAAAUGGUAAAACUGAACUGGAAAUCCAUCUGGCCGGCUGCCUGCUCUAAUGAAUAACCCCACUUUGGCUCGUGCAAUGACUUCUUCCCUUUGGAAUGCAAGUGCGGUGGCAGUGUCAAGGAUGCCUGUGUGUUUGCAGCAGGUUCCUUCCAGAAGCAGCUGCAAGUGCCACCUCCAGGCCAUCUGGCCAAUGUGAGGAAAGGAGGCUGCAAGGGCUUGGCAAAAACAACUUUCUGUUCCUCUGGUAUCCCCUGAUAACUGAUUUCAAGUUAUGGCCAAGGACUGCCUUAUCGCCGUCAGUGGCUGUCAAAAAUUUAUAAGUAUAUUCAUUUCCCUAUUCAACUUAAUUGGUAUUUUGGGUAUGACACUAGAAAAGCAAGUUAGACUUGCCUGUUGGAGUCCAAGGAUACCUCCAACAAAAUUCUAGACAAUAAAAGAAAGGGUAAGUGUCUGAGGGGAGGGGGCACUUACAAAUUAUUCCAUUUAAUGCUAAUUCGAGGCUUCCAGAUUCAUUUUGGGAAAAUCAAAGAGCAAGAGCUGUAUGCAUGGCUUUUUAAAACACAAAGAAAAUUGGGAAGCAUGGGCUUCCCAAUUUUCCUGCGCAUAAACUUCUAGAACAAUUUCUAUUGUUGAUACUUUAAAAAAAAUCUUUUUCUUUUCUGUGAUGUGGUCUUUUAAACUCAUACCACAACUUAUGGCUCCCUCUACUUCCUAUAUUUUAAUUGAUCUUGAGGUUAUUUUCAAGUCACUGGGCUUAAUGAACAAAUAUUUUAGAAUUUCUUCCUUUAUAUACACUCAUUUCUGUCUCAAUAAAAUGUCUAAUCAGGAAUUCACUUGUGUAGAAAAUAAAAAAUAGAAGUACAUACCCUUCAA